CCGCAUGUUCUAGCCCCUCCGGCGGUGCCCCAGGUCAACGGAGCCGUGCAUCCUGACGAUAUCAACGUGAUGCCCGGACCGGUGCCCCAUGUCAACGCCGCGGGCCAAGGACAGGUCC
Molecule: non-coding RNA, 118 nt
Organism: Tribolium castaneum (red flour beetle)
Lineage: Eukaryota; Metazoa; Arthropoda; Insecta; Coleoptera; Tenebrionidae
Source: RefSeq, marked provisional